GAAAUGCGAUAAGUAAUGUGAAUUGCAGAAUUCAGUGAAUCAUCGAAUCUUUGAACGCACAUUGCGCCCGUUAGCAUUCUAGCGGGCAUGCCUGUCCGAGCGUCAUUUCAACCCUCAGGGCCCCCCGUUCCGGCGGGCGGACCUGGCGUUGGGGAUCGGCCCGCCCCGUGCGGCGCCGUCCCCCAAAUACAGUGGCGGUCCCGCCGCAGCCUCCCCUGCGUAGUAGUUUACAACCUCGCAUCGGGGCGCGGCGCGGCCACGCCGUAAAACCCCCGACUUUCUGAACGUUGACCUCGGAUCAGGUAGGAAUACCCGCUGAACUUAAGC
Molecule: unclassified non-coding RNA, 327 nt
Filed under: plant metagenome
Description: partial contains 5.8S ribosomal RNA, internal transcribed spacer 2, and large subunit ribosomal RNA
Rfam family: 5.8S ribosomal RNA (bases 1-105)
Source: RNAcentral